Molecule: ribosomal RNA, 253 nt
Filed under: uncultured bacterium
Lineage: Bacteria
Description: partial 16S ribosomal RNA
Rfam family: Bacterial small subunit ribosomal RNA
Source: RNAcentral
UACGUAGGGUGCGAGCGUUAAUCGGAAUUACUGGGCGUAAAGCGUGCGCAGGCGGUUUUGUAAGGCAGAUGUGAAAUCCCCGGGCUUAACCUGGGAAUGGCAUUUGGGACUGCAAGGCUUGAGUGCGGCAGAGGAGACUGGAAUUCCCGGUGUAGCAGUGAAAUGCGUAGAUAUCGGGAGGAAUACCGAUGGCGAAGGCAGGUCUCUGGGCUGACACUGACGCUCAUGCACGAAAGCGUGGGGAGCAAACAGG